This 693-nucleotide ribosomal RNA is filed under the name Bacillus subtilis. RNAcentral's name for it is "bacterial SSU rRNA". It matches the Rfam family "Bacterial small subunit ribosomal RNA", at positions 288 to 968 of the family's 1533-position model. The record is from RNAcentral. Lineage: Bacteria; Bacillati; Bacillota; Bacilli; Caryophanales; Bacillaceae.
CGACCUGAUAGGGUGAUCGGCCCCCCUGGGACUGAGACACGGCCCAUACUCCUACGGGAGGCAGAGUAGGGAAUCUUCCGCAAUGGACGAAAGUCUGACGGAGCAACGCCGCGUGAGUGAUGAAGGUUUUCGGAUCGUAAAGCUCUGUUGUUAGGGAAGAACAAGUACCGUUCGAAUAGGGCGGUACCUUGACGGUACCUAACCAGAAAGCCACGGCUAACUACGUGCCAGCAGCCGCGGUAAUACGUAGGUGGCAAGCGUUGUCCGGAAUUAUUGGGCGUAAAGGGCUCGCAGGCGGUUUCUUAAGUCUGAUGUGAAAGCCCCCGGCUCAACCGGGGAGGGUCAUUGGAAACUGGGGAACUUGACUGCAGAAGAGGAGAGUGGAAUUCCACGUGUAGCGGCGAAAUGCGUAGAGAUGUGGAGGAACACCAUUGGCUAAGGCGACUCUCUGGUCUGUAACUGACGCUGAGGAGCGAAAGCGUGUGGAGCGAACAGGAUUAGAUACCCUGGUAGUCCACGCCGUAAACGAUGAGUGCUAAGUGUUAGGGGGUUUCCGCCCCUUAGUGCUGCAGCUAACGCAUUAAGCACUCCCGCCUGGGGAGUACGGUCGCAAGACUGAAAACUCAAAGGAAUUGACGGGGGGCCCGCACAAGCGGUGGAGCAUGUGGUUUUAAUUCGAAGCAACGCGAAGAA